This is a long non-coding RNA of Syngnathoides biaculeatus (alligator pipefish), 740 nucleotides long. RefSeq lists it as uncharacterized. The transcript is spliced from 2 exons. Lineage: Eukaryota; Metazoa; Chordata; Actinopteri; Syngnathiformes; Syngnathidae. The record is from RefSeq and is a predicted model, not a curated record.
GUUCGAGAUAACUUCACCCCUCCCCUGUGGAGGUGGCAGUGAUGUCACCGACUGUCAUCUUUGAGUGUUUCUCCACAGCUUUCGGAAUGUGUCACCAACUUUGCUGUCCUGUUGGAUGUCUCUUGGGUGUCCGGGCUCUCCCUUAGAGAACGGGUGAGAAGCUCGGUCUUCCAGGAGGGGUUCAGUGUCGAUCCGCUGCUCCUCCGCAUUGAGAGGAGCCAGACGAGGUGGCAGGGGCUUCUGAUUCGGAUGCCUCCUGGACGCCUCCAAGGUGAGGUGUUCCGUGCAUUUCCCACCGGAAAGAGACCCCGAGGACGACCCAGGACACGCUGGAGAGACCGUGUCUCUCGGUUUGCUUGGGAGCGCCUCGGGAUCCCUCCGGAAGAGCUGGAAGAAGUGGCUGGGGAAAGGGAGUCUGGGUAUGCCUCCUGAAGAUACUUCCCCCAUGACCCGACCCGGAAAAGUGUUAGAUAAUGGAUGGAUGGAGUAAGUGAGGUUUGAAUUGUGCAAUCGUGGGAUUUAUUUGGCAUGCACAGCAGAAAGUCUCAUUUUAUCAACGUAAAGCAUCGUGUAACAAGUGCUUUCAUUGGCAUAUCAAAUAUUGCCUCACUACCUCGCCUCACCUUGCUAUCUAUGCUUUCAAAACUACACAUUUAUUGUUUCGUUCUAUCCAUAAACAUAGAUUCGCUGAAGGCUUUUACAGUCUGUCAACAUGUCGUGAAUAAAAGCUCUUAAAUUCA